RNAcentral lists this unclassified non-coding RNA (259 nucleotides) under plant metagenome. Its description in RNAcentral is "partial contains small subunit ribosomal RNA, internal transcribed spacer 1, and 5.8S ribosomal RNA". The stretch from base 1 to 54 matches the Rfam family "Eukaryotic small subunit ribosomal RNA", at positions 1778 to 1831 of the family's 1831-position model. The record is from RNAcentral.
GGAAGUAAAGGUCGUAACAAGGUUUCCGUAGGUGAACCUGCGGAAGGAUCAUUAAUGAGAACUAAGGGUAGUAGUCUCGGCUACUACUCUGAACACUCCACCCUUUGUUUAUAUUACCUUUGUUGCUUUAGCAGGCCCGCUCUCGAGCCGCCGGCACCUGCUGGCUAGUGCCUGCUAAAGAACCUAAAACUCUUGUUAAUAAUAUUGUCUGAGUACUAUAUAAUAGUUAAAACUUUCAACAACGGAUCUCUUGGUUCUG